This 61-nucleotide transfer RNA is filed under the name Bacillus anthracis (anthrax bacterium). RNAcentral describes it as "tRNA-Ser". It matches the Rfam family "tRNA", at positions 15 to 71 of the family's 71-position model. From Rfam's summary of the family: Transfer RNA (tRNA) molecules are approximately 80 nucleotides in length. The record is from RNAcentral. Lineage: Bacteria; Bacillati; Bacillota; Bacilli; Caryophanales; Bacillaceae.
GUCGGUAGAGCAGAGGACUGAAAAUCCUCGUGUCGGCGGUUCGAUUCCGUCCCGAGCCACU